This 358-nucleotide unclassified non-coding RNA is filed under the name uncultured fungus. RNAcentral's name for it is "partial contains 18S rRNA, ITS1 and 5.8S rRNA". The record is from RNAcentral. Lineage: Eukaryota; Fungi.
AGGUGAACCUGCGGAAGGAUCAUUACCACACCUAAAAAACUAUCCACGUGAACCGUUAAGCAAACAAGUUAAGGCAGGCGCGAUUGGUGGUGCGUCUGGGAAGCGCUUGUCGAUAUUCGAUCGGAUCGGAUAUUGUCGGGCGUCGUCCUGGACACGCUGUCGAUCGGAGUCGGCUAAACGAAGGUCGGGCGUUCGCUAUCGGAGCGAUGUGCGCGUUGUCGCACGUUGCUGCAAUGGCUCGAGCAAGCGGCUGAUUUAUGUCUUUCAAACCAUACGUGACGUACUGAUUAUACUGUGAGGACGAAAGUCCUUGCUUUUACUAGAUAACAACUUUCGGCAGUGGAUGUCUAGGCUCGCA